Calidris pygmaea (Spoon-billed sandpiper) is the source of this 1746-nucleotide long non-coding RNA. Lineage: Eukaryota; Metazoa; Chordata; Aves; Charadriiformes; Scolopacidae. The record is from Ensembl.
GCUGUUCCAGAGCAGAGCGAUGCCAAGCAACCCAUGGACCAUGAAAGGUCUGUCUUCUGUCUUCCACUUAAAAAUACACAGAUGCCACAGUGAGCUUGAGUAAAAAAAAUCAUGUCAGAUUAGAGUAGAACUGUAUUUAUUCGAGUAGAAAAUAAGGGUAUUCUGCACCUCCUUGUUUAUUCCUCCCCUAUGAAGACAGGCUGAGAGAGCUGGGGUUGUUCAGCCUGGAGAAGAGAAGGCUCCGGGGAGACCUUAGAGCCCCUUCCAAUAUCUGAAGGGGCUACAGGAGAGCUGGGGAGGGACUCUUUGUCAGGGGGUGCAGUGACAGGACAAGGGGGAACGGCUUUAAAUUAGAAGAGGGGAGAUUUAGAUCAAAUACCAGAAAGAAAUUCUUUCCUGCGGGUGGUGAGAGCCUGGAACAGGUUGCCCAGAGAAGCUGUGGCUGCUCCAUCCCUGGAGGGGUUCAAGGCCAGGCUGGAUGGGGCUUUGAGCAACCUGGUGUGGUGGGAGGUGUCCCUGCCCAGGGCAGGGGGUUGGAACUUGAUGAUCUUUAAGGUCCCUUCCAACUCUACCCAUUCUAUGAUUCCAAUUAUUUAUUGAUACUGAGCUGAGUAUUACUGCAUUGUGUUCAGACGAGGGGUAGAAACGCAUGUUUUAGCAAAGUGAGGGAGGUUUGUGCCUGGAGCUCGGCAGCCCGAGGCAGGUUUCCAUCCCUCUUGGGACGGUUUCUCUGUGCCGGGGAGGCUGGAGGGGCCCAACUUGAUUUUUGAGCUUCCCUGGAGAGACUCAACACACGUCCUCAACGGUGCUUCUCCGCAGCAGCCACCGCUGCCCCGUCUGCGAGGACUGGCUGCGCGCACACCUCAGCCCCUGGGAAAGGGGUCCUGCAGCGCCCGGGGAGCAGCUGGGGGGUCCCCACCAGCAGGACGAGGGCCCGCAGGGUCCCGUCUGCCCCCCCUGCGCCGACCGCCUGCACCUCUCCCUUGUCCACAGCGACUCGGGGCGCUCCCCGGUCUGUCCCCUGGCCGGGGAGGGGACCCUGGCUCACCUCAUCCCCCGCCGCACCCCCGGCUGCCACCUCUGCCCCAUCUGCACGGUGCCCACCCACUCACACCUCUGCCAGCACCAGCACCAGGCACCCGACGGUAGGGACCUGCGUGGGGACACCCCAAAAUGCCCUUCAGGUCACCAAGGUGACCUGGGGGACCAAGAUGCCACCAGCCAGUGGCUGCAAAGGGCACGUGGCAUCUAACCCUAAUUAACUGCCCGUUUUUCCCUGUUGCAGGAUAAAUGCCGCCGGUGGUUGGAGGGAAGGGGGAGUUCCCACACUAACGCCCGACGCUGUCGGGAAUGAGGCUUUAAGUGCAAUAAGGCAACCCUGGAGUCAAGUGUCUGACUUCACAACCGGGAAUUUCUCUGUAAAGAAGCAGGAAAAUCAAACAUAUUUCAAAGCCAGCUCUGUGCUGGUUAAAUGCUUAGUUUUCUUUUUGUUUAUUUUAGUAUGAAAAAAAAAUCUAUUUUUGCAGCUCUUGAAGUGGGGCUUCUAAAAUCCAGUAAACGUUUCUUUCCACUAGAAAAUAAUUUCAUAGGAAACACCCUACUUGUACACACUCUUGCAAGAUUUACUUGUAUUUUUUAAAACUACUUUUCUACUGAGGUUCAUUUCCUAGUGUGCAGAUACGAGUGUGAAAAUGACAAUAUUUACAGCAAAACUCUUUUGUAAAUAAAAGGAAUAUCAAAUAAGCA